CGCAAAACACAUACUCGUGGGGCAGAAACACGUUGAAGCGGUGCAAUUCGCUCCAUCUGGCCAGAUCAAGCGCUUGAAGUCUCGUCACUUGCAGAGUGACUCUCCGUUCGUGCCUCCAACCAGUCCUUUACCCCUUCUCUGCCGGUUAUAUUCCUCUACAGACACUGUGUAUGGGAUGGAUGUUCACCGCGGUCCGAUUUAGCGUUGCUUCACCUGCUGUCAAUAUCAAUUUCCACCUCGUGUGAGCUGUCGAAGAGUCUCUUCAAUAAAUUUAAAUCCGCAUCUUGUUGCGAAAAGUCGCAGAACUAGACGGCUCGGAAACAUGCUGCCCGAUCUGCUGAGUCUUUCCUUGAUUUCUUUAGUCUAACUGAGGAAUCGCCUUAGAAAUAUUUGAAUUGCUACUUAACACAAGGAAGGAAUUUGAAGUUUCUCAGUCGCAGGAGGUGACUUGAAGAAAAAAAAAUGAGGAAAUAAGUAGAACCUAAGCUGGUUUCAAGUGAAAGUAUAAAUUAGUUUAAGACUAUUUCCUUUGACACUCAAAGCACGAACCACGAACUGGAGUGGUUUAGGUAGCAACCACUGGCCGGUUAGCUCCUGUGAUCAUGGAGCUGUUUUGAUGCUGUCUGGUCUUGAUGAUGCUACAGUUUGCAUUGACAUAUGAAGACUUGUAUUCCAGCAAUUCCCAAAAGUUGUUUCUAAUAUAAAAACAGCAAGAAAGGUCUCAAGCUGAAGGCUGUGGGCAGAAGAGAAACUGGGCUUAACCUUGUGAAAUAAUUAGCAGCUUUCUUGAGCAUGGGAUUUCAAAGAAUUAAAGGACAGUUUCCUGUAAGAAAUGUCUUGAAUUCCAAUAGGACACAAUUAUUCAGUGAAUAAAGGAAUGAGAAUAAAGCUAUACAAGGCCAAGUCAUCCUUGUUUUAAUUUUUUUUCAUGUUCCAUCUUCUUCCCUUUUGAUGCAUGUAAAUUGCAGAGCUUUGUUUUGUGUUAAUGGGAAUCUGAGCCAGUUGUGGCUAAAUUAAUAAAUGGGGCCUUGAGUGGCAAAGUCUGGUUUUGGUUGCUAUCUUCUCAUGACUGUUUCAAGUCACUGAGCACCUGAGAAUUUUCUGUUGGUGAUUUCUUGUAUGGUACACAACCAGAUUGACCCAGUUGUCAAGAUGUGUUGAGGUUAUGUUUUUCUACUUAAUGAAGCAGAAACAAAAAACCCUUAGCUCAAUAUGGACUAAGGAGAUCUUUACACUUCAGUUCCAGUUCUCGCACUCAAAAUGAGCUGAGAUUUUUGGCUCCAUCAGCCUUUGGAGUAUGGGUUGGGCCAUGAAAGAGAUCCAGAUGGAUUUACGAUUCUAUAGUGAGUGUGUUUGAUUUCUAACAGAAUUAAAAAUGGAUUAAUGGUUAUCUAUGAUGUGUACUUUGGCCCUUUCUGGAGGCUCUUACUGCAAUAGAAAUGUAAUCAUAAAGUGCACUGAUUAUUGUGAGAAUUUGUGUGGGUGUCUGUGUGCUUUGAAAAAGGUACGGGCAACUGCUCUAUUACAGGGGGUUGUGUUCCUAGGAAACUGGCUGUACCAUUUUUAUUCCUCACCCCCCCAUAACACAAAGCUAUGUAAUCUGCACAUGUGCCAAGAAAUACAAGCUGAAAAUUGCUUCUUUUUCACCAAAACCUGUAAGAUUUGGAUUUUAUUUGCUCUUGGGUAGUGAUUUGCAAAUUCUGUAAGGGCAACUUUACAUGACCCAAAUGGCACUGACGUGGGGGUCGUGUGUGUUGGGCAACUUUCUGCUCAUGUUGGCAGUAGGUAUAUGCAAAUAGACAUUCACUGGCAUAUUGUUAGAUCCAAACAAGAAUUUUAAAUCUUCAAACUGUAUCUUAAGAUUUUGUUUGGAAGUGUAACAAAUUAAAAGUGGUAGCAUUGACCCCUUGUGUGCCAUAAAGU
Pristis pectinata (smalltooth sawfish) is the source of this 1923-nucleotide long non-coding RNA. RefSeq lists it as uncharacterized. The record is from RefSeq and is a predicted model, not a curated record. NCBI's taxonomy places the organism in Eukaryota, Metazoa, Chordata, Chondrichthyes, Rhinopristiformes, Pristidae. The transcript is spliced from 3 exons.